CCCUUAGAUGUUCUGGGCCGCACGCGUGCUACACUGAGUGGAUCAGCGGGUCAGGUUGCGCGAAAGUGUUUCCUAAUCUUGAAAUCCGCUCGUGAUGGGGAUUGACGGUUGCAAUUUUCCGUCAUGAACGAGGAAUACCUUGUAAGCGCGGGUCAUCAUCCCGCGCUGAAUACGUCCCUGCCCUUUGUACACACCGCCCGUCGCUCCUACCGAUUGAGUGGUCCGGUGAGGCUUUGGGAUCUGAGCGGAAAGAGCGUUUCGCUGUUUCUGCUCGGAAAACUCAGUCGAACCUUAUCAUUUAGAGGAAGGAGAUGUCGUAACA
Molecule: ribosomal RNA, 322 nt
Filed under: uncultured eukaryote
Lineage: Eukaryota
Description: partial 18S ribosomal RNA
Rfam family: Eukaryotic small subunit ribosomal RNA
Source: RNAcentral